UAAAAAGGAGACAUACAGAAGAACAGAGGAAAUUAAAACAUGAUGGUUUUCUGUAUGUUUCUGUUUUUUACCAUGUUCAUAGGUGAGAGCACACAGGACAGCAUUACUCCAACAUCUUCUGCUGUCUAUGGUAAAGAGGAGCAAGCAGUUACACUCUCCUGUGAUUAUAAAUACACUGUUUCUAUGAACAAUCUACAGUGGUAUCGACAAUAUUCCAAUGCAGCACCAGAAUUCCUCGUUCUGUUGAUGGAAUCCGGAGCAAAUCAGACAAGUGACACUCCUCAUCCUCAUUUGUCUGCUAAAGUUCAUAAGAGUCUGAAGCGUGUGGAUUUGGAGAUCUCGCCUGCUUCAGUAUCAGACUCUGCACUGUACUACUGCGCCUUGCAGCCCACAGUGACAGGAAAGCCAACUUCACUGCACAAAAACCUACAGAGACCUCAAACAUGAAAGUGCUGAAGAAUCACAAUAAGAAGAAAAGACUGCAUGCAUAACAUCAGCAUUCUGAUUAUUGA
This is a non-coding RNA of Hemibagrus wyckioides, 512 nucleotides long. NCBI's taxonomy places the organism in Eukaryota, Metazoa, Chordata, Actinopteri, Siluriformes, Bagridae. The record is from the annotation of a RefSeq genome assembly.